GUGUAAUUUUUUUUUACAUGGUUGCAAUUUUCAGUUAUUAAAAAAAUUCACAUUCCUAUUUCAAAGUGAUCAAAUUUUCAAUAUACAUAUUUUUCACAGUUUAAAUUUUCAGUGUUAAAAAAUUCAGCAUAUAAAAAAAUUCAACUUUUCAAAAUUCAAAUGCAACAUUUUCGUUGUCCUCCAAUUCAACUUGCUCAAAUUCGCCGUCUCAAAUUCACCGUCUAAAAAUUCGCUGUCUCAAAUUCAGCGUCUAAAAAUUCGCUGUAAAAAUGGCCAAGGUUACUUCAGGUCACCUAAUCACGUGACACAACCGUCACAUUGAAGAAGUACCAGUAUCACCCAGGCUGGCGACCAUGGAGGCGAACUCAAACCCAACGGGUACGUGCCGAUCAAGGGGUGGAAAAUGUGGACGUGGCACGACUUAUGUUUAUGAUUCGUGGAACAGGAAGAAGCAGUUUCAUAUCUGGGAAGAGUGUGCACAAUCAAAGGAUUGAGCGACUGUGGAGAGAUCUGUGGACGGCUGUGACGUGCAUCUAUUAUGAUGUGCUGCACUACCUAGAAGAAGAGGGAUACCUGGACAUUUCCAAUGAAGCCCAACUCUUCUGUUGCCACUAUGUCUUCCUGCCACGUCUGCAAGAUUUGGAUACUUUCCGCAGUGGCUGGGACAAUCACCCACUUCGAACUGAAAGCAACAUGACACCUAACCAGCUCUGGGUUCUUGGUCAUACACAUAAUCCAAUUCCUGAACCUCAUGGUGCCUUGACAGAGGGUGUACAGAUUCCCGAAAUCGAAUGGGAGGACAGCGGGCUUCCUCUUCACGAGGAGUCAAAUGUCACAGUACCAAACUCUAAUUUGCAACUGACUGACGAACAAAUGGCAGCUUUAAGAAAUGCAGUAAACCCAAAAGCCACAUCACUGUCUUUUGGAUGUGACAUUUAUAUUGCUGCAGUUCAGUUUUGUGAGCAGUUUUUUACUGUGUGAAAGUUAUCUUACGGGAAAAACACAUCACGGUUAUGAUUAGUUACUUAUAUACAAUCAUAUGUUAAAUAUGGUAAGCAUAAUUUACUUGGUUAUUAUUAUUCACUGAAUUUAACUUGUACAUAAUUGCAAAAAAUGACAUAAAAAAUAAAUGCAAAGCAUGAUUUAUUUUGAAGAAUACUUAACAGGAUCUAGUUUUGUCUUUUUGCCACUAUCUUGGCUUCUGUUGAUUUUGAUUGCUCGGUUCUAAACAGCCCUUUGCCGUUAUUCAGCUAUUGUAUUGUUCAAUAAAAAUCUGAAAAUAAAAUGUUCAGCAAAUACA
Molecule: long non-coding RNA, 1300 nt
Organism: Fundulus heteroclitus (mummichog)
Lineage: Eukaryota; Metazoa; Chordata; Actinopteri; Cyprinodontiformes; Fundulidae
Exons: 4
Source: RefSeq, a predicted model, not a curated record